RNAcentral lists this ribosomal RNA (800 nucleotides) under uncultured bacterium. Its description in RNAcentral is "bacterial SSU rRNA". It matches the Rfam family "Bacterial small subunit ribosomal RNA", at positions 83 to 880 of the family's 1533-position model. The record is from RNAcentral.
CCUGGGUGACGAGCGGCGGACGGGUGAGUAAUGUCUGGGAAACUGCCCGAUGGAGGGGGAUAACUACUGGAAACGGUAGCUAAUACCGCAUAACGUCUUCGGACCAAAGUGGGGGACCUUCGGGCCUCACACCAUCGGAUGUGCCCAGAUGGGAUUAGCUAGUAGGUGAGGUAAUGGCUCACCUAGGCGACGAUCCCUAGCUGGUCUGAGAGGAUGACCAGCCACACUGGAACUGAGACACGGUCCAGACUCCUACGGGAGGCAGCAGUGGGGAAUAUUGCACAAUGGGCGCAAGCCUGAUGCAGCCAUGCCGCGUGUGUGAAGAAGGCCUUCGGGUUGUAAAGCACUUUCAGCGAGGAGGAAGGGUUCGGUGUUAAUAGCACCGUUCAUUGACGUUACUCGCAGAAGAAGCACCGGCUAACUCCGUGCCAGCAGCCGCGGUAAUACGGAGGGUGCAAGCGUUAAUCGGAAUUACUGGGCGUAAAGCGCACGCAGGCGGUUUGUUAAGUCAGAUGUGAAAUCCCCGAGCUUAACUUGGGAACUGCAUUUGAAACUGGCAAGCUAGAGUCUUGUAGAGGGGGGUAGAAUUCCAGGUGUAGCGGUGAAAUGCGUAGAGAUCUGGAGGAAUACCGGUGGCGAAGGCGGCCCCCUGGACAAAGACUGACGCUCAGGUGCGAAAGCGUGGGGAGCAACAGGAUUAGAUACCCUGGUAGUCCACGCUGUAAACGAUGUCGACUUGGAGGUUGUGCCCUUGAGGCGUGGCUUCCGGAGCUAACGCGUUAAGUCGACCGCCUGGGGAG